GUAGGGUGCAAGCGUUAAUCGGAAUUACUGGGCGUAAAGCGUGCGCAGGCGGUUUUGUAAGACAGUGGUGAAAUCCCCGGGGCUCAACCUGGGAACUGCCAUUGUGACUGCAAGGCUGGAGUGCGGCAGAGGGGGAUGGAAUUCCGCGUGUAGCAGUGAAAUGCGUAGAUAUGCGGAGGAACACCGAUGGCGAAGGCAAUCCCCUGGGCCUGCACUGACGCUCAUGCACGAAAGCGUGGGGAGCAAACAGGAUUAGAUACCCUGGUAGUCCACGCCCUAAACGAUGUCAACUGGUUGUUGGGAAUUUAUUUUCUCAGUAACGAAGCUAACGCGUGAAGUUGACCGCCUGGGGAGUACGGCCGCAAGGUUA
This 370-nucleotide ribosomal RNA is filed under the name uncultured organism. Its description in RNAcentral is "partial 16S ribosomal RNA". It matches the Rfam family "Bacterial small subunit ribosomal RNA", at positions 527 to 896 of the family's 1533-position model. The record is from RNAcentral.